AGUGGGAUAGCUGGGUCAAAUGGUGGUUCCAUUCCACAUUUUCUAAGGAAUUUCGAUACUACUUUCCAAAGUGGUUGCACCAACUUUCAGUCCUAUCAGCACU
RNAcentral lists this microRNA precursor (103 nucleotides) under Marmota monax (woodchuck). The record is from RNAcentral. Lineage: Eukaryota; Metazoa; Chordata; Mammalia; Rodentia; Sciuridae.